UUGUUCCUGCCGUGUUCGUGAUUGACAGGAUUCUUCUCUGAAAAAGCACUCCGUGCACGCGAACCCGAGUUUGCUUUGGCAGGCAGGUUCUGUUUUCGACAGAAAAGUCUAAAGAAGCAAUAAGGUUGAUCACUAAAAAACAGUUCUUGAGAGUAUCCCAACACGGCACAUAGGCGGGGACAAU
RNAcentral lists this non-coding RNA (184 nucleotides) under Deltaproteobacteria bacterium. RNAcentral describes it as "6S RNA". It matches the Rfam family "6S / SsrS RNA". From Rfam's summary of the family: E. coli 6S RNA was the first non coding RNA to be sequenced, but its function was unknown until recently. It consists of 184 nucleotides that fold into an extended hairpin structure with a large single-stranded internal bulge. The 6S RNA specifically associates with RNA polymerase holoenzyme containing the sigma70 specificity factor. Lineage: Bacteria; Pseudomonadati; Myxococcota; Myxococcia. The record is from RNAcentral.